Molecule: ribosomal RNA, 497 nt
Filed under: uncultured bacterium
Lineage: Bacteria
Description: partial 16S ribosomal RNA
Rfam family: Bacterial small subunit ribosomal RNA
Source: RNAcentral
GAUGAACGCUGGCGGCGUGCCUAAUACAUGCAAGUCGAGCGAACAGACGAGGAGCUUGCUCCUCUGACGUUAGCGGCGGACGGGUGAGUAACACGUGGAUAACCUACCUAUAAGACUGGGAUAACUUCGGGAAACCGGAGCUAAUAACGGAUAAUAUAUUCAACCGCAUGGAUCAAUAGUGAAAGACGGUUUUGCUGUCACUUAUAGAUGGAUCCGCGCCGCAUUAGCUAGUUGGUAAGGUAACGGCUUACCAAGGCAACGAUGCGUAGCCGACCUGAGAGGAUGAUCGGCCACACUGGAACUGAGACACGGUCCAGACUCCUACGGGAGGCAGCAGUAGGGAAUCUUCCGCAAUGGGCGAAAGCCUGACGGAGCAACGCCGCGUGAGUGAUGAAGGUCUUCGGAUCGUAAAACUCUGUUAUUAGGGAAGAACAAAUGUGUAAGUAACUAUGCACGUCUUGACGGUACCUAAUCAGAAAGCCACGGCUAACUACGUG